Molecule: long non-coding RNA, 1110 nt
Filed under: Homo sapiens (human)
Lineage: Eukaryota; Metazoa; Chordata; Mammalia; Primates; Hominidae
Description: non-protein coding LINC01013:17
Source: RNAcentral
UCAGUCUUGAAAGAUGGGAAGAUCAGGAGCAGUCUGGAGUCAUGGUAUAUGAAUGAACUAGUGAGAGUGGGCACAAAGUCUGAAGAUCUUUGUAGUGCAGCUAAUGUCUAAGGGAGAAUAUACCUACCCUAGAAGAGACAUUAAACAACCAGGGAAGCUUACUGCAGGAAAGAAAUCCCUCAGAGUCCUGAAGAUACAGCUUUCAGAACUUAGGUGAAGCAAGAGGACUCAAGGUGUGCAAGAAUGGACAGUACAGAAUGCUCUGCUACACUGCUCAGAUUCCCCCUUCAGGAAGGAAGGACAAAUUCACUCAACUUCUGGGAGCAUUGAUGGUUGAGCUCUCAGCCAUCAGACCUUUUUGGAAGUUGCCCUCUUCUGAAAAGAGGCACAUUGCCCAAGAUCUUUCCUCCUCCAGAGCGCAGGCUGCACCUGAAGUCUGAUUGAUGUGGGGUAUGAUGGUCUGGUCUCCUUUCCCCAUCUAAAGGACUGUUCUAACCUCAGGGCUCUCCUUGAGUUUCCUUAGUUAGUUCUUAUUACUAUGUUGCAGUCCAACUUCUUCUUUGGCCUAAUUCUACUUUCCUCCCAUUCCCCAAUUGUUGAUCCUGACAGCAAUUUCCCCCCAAAUUUCUGUAAACUAAGCAUGAUCUCAGAGUCACCUGACCUGCAACAUUAUUACAUACACUAUAGUCCGUGCACUUAAAGAUUUAGUGAAAGUAUGCUGCUGAAGCUUGCCAGAACUUCCCUUCUUGUUCAACCAAUCUACAAAGGCCAAAAAUAUUUUCACAGGCCCCCAAAAGAUGAACUCCAAUCUGCUGCCCCUAAACGCAUUCUCCACUGUCUGGAAGAUGUGCAAAGGCAACGGCACAGCGUUCUCCAUCUCAAAUCCUUCAAAGUGCUGUCAGAAUAAAAGAAUCCCCACCAAAAGCCCCAGGGAAAUCUAUCUGUCUGUAUGGUAUGGUAAUGACUGAGGUUAUUCCAGAUAGGAUUCUGGGAGAAACUCAGCUAUUGAAAUCUAAUGAAUGGAACUGAGAAUUUCUUGUUAUAAUACUGUUUGUUUGAUUGAAUAUAUCCUUGCAUAUAGGAAGACAUAAAAAUAAAUAAUAAAAGCAA